CAGUCGCCGCGGGAACACGUAGGUGGCAAGCGUUGUCCGGAAUUAUUGGGCGUAAAGGGCUCGCAGGCGGUUUCUUAAGUCUGAUGUGAAAGCCCCCGGCUCAACCGGGGAGGGUCAUUGGAAACUGGGAAACUUGAGUGCAGAAGAGGAGAGUGGAAUUCCACGUGUAGCGGUGAAAUGCGUAGAGAUGUGGAGGAACACCAGUGGCGAAGGCGACUCUCUGGUCUGUAACUGACGCUGAGGAGCGAAAGCGUGGGGAGCGAACAGGAUUAGAGACCCGCGUAGUCCCUGUCUCUUAUAC
RNAcentral lists this ribosomal RNA (301 nucleotides) under uncultured bacterium. RNAcentral describes it as "partial 16S ribosomal RNA". It matches the Rfam family "Bacterial small subunit ribosomal RNA", at positions 509 to 807 of the family's 1533-position model. The record is from RNAcentral.